RNAcentral lists this long non-coding RNA (652 nucleotides) under Pan troglodytes (chimpanzee). RNAcentral describes it as "long non-coding RNA NONPTRT002786". Lineage: Eukaryota; Metazoa; Chordata; Mammalia; Primates; Hominidae. The record is from RNAcentral.
GUAUCAUUUAGAUCUGUUAACAGUACAGUUGAGAGAGUUGGUGUCUUUUGUUGAGGUGCGAGGACCCGAGGCGGCGACCCUCGCCUUUAUUCGGAGAAGCCCACUUCCACCCACAGAGUUGGGGUAGUCCUCCGAAAUGCAUUUUUGUUUUGCCGUUUGUUUUCCAACCCCCUUUCACUCUCCCCAAAGCUUCAGAUUCACUGAUUUUUCAUACAGGAAUGAUUAACAAAGGCGUCCGAAGAAAUCGUUGUUGGAAGGUGGCCAAAGUGGAAAGAGAGGUUGCUUUGGCCCUGCAAGUAAGAAGAGAGAAGGAAUAGCCUGAAGGAGUAACACUAAAUUUAAAAUGACACUUUUUUACCAACCAGCGAAAGCAGAUGUUCAAAGGGGAUAUUGGCCAGAGUCUGUCACACUAAGAUGAGAAAUAUCCUUUCUUCCUGAAGGUGUCUGAUGUGUAAAAAUACUGAUAUACUUUGUGCUGUUUCCUCCCUUCCCUUUUGCACAUUAUUCUGAAACAACAUUAACUAGUUACUUUGCGUCAUUGAAGGUAUGCACUUCCCCUCUACGUUAGGAGGGAAUAAAAUUAAAAAUAGAUCCUUAUAGCAAAGAAAGGCAGAUAGAAUGAUUAAAAAUGACCAAAACAUGUUAGAAACAG